This 465-nucleotide ribosomal RNA is filed under the name Vreelandella stevensii. Its description in RNAcentral is "partial 16S ribosomal RNA". It matches the Rfam family "Bacterial small subunit ribosomal RNA", at positions 338 to 795 of the family's 1533-position model. Lineage: Bacteria; Pseudomonadati; Pseudomonadota; Gammaproteobacteria; Oceanospirillales; Halomonadaceae. The record is from RNAcentral.
CCUACGGGCGGCAGCAGUGGGGAAUAUUGGACAAUGGGCGAAAGCCUGAUCCAGCCAUGCCGCGUGUGUGAAGAAGGCCUUCGGGUUGUAAAGCACUUUCAAUGGGGAAGAAAGCCUUGGGGCUAAUACCCUCGAGGAAGGACAUCACCCACAGAAGAAGCACCGGCUAACUCCGUGCCAGCAGCCGCGGUAAUACGGAGGGUGCGAGCGUUAAUCGGAAUUACUGGGCGUAAAGCGCGCGUAGGCGGUCUGAUAAGCCGGUUGUGAAAGCCCCGGGCUCAACCUGGGAACGGCAUCCGGAACUGUCAGGCUAGAGUGCAGGAGAGGAAGGUAGAAUUCCCGGUGUAGCGGUGAAAUGCGUAGAGAUCGGGAGGAAUACCAGUGGCGAAGGCGGCCUUCUGGACUGACACUGACGCUGAGGUGCGAAAGCGUGGGCAGCAAACAGGAUUAGAUACCCGAGUAGUC